Molecule: ribosomal RNA, 464 nt
Filed under: uncultured bacterium
Lineage: Bacteria
Description: partial 16S ribosomal RNA
Rfam family: Bacterial small subunit ribosomal RNA
Source: RNAcentral
CUACGGGACGCUCCAGUGGGGAAUUUUGGACAAUGGGCGCAAGCCUGAUCCAGCAAUGCCGCGUGCAGGACGAAGGCCUUCGGGUUGUAAACUGCUUUUGUACAAAACGAAACGCUCUGGGUUAAUACCCUGGGGUAAUGACGGUACUGUAAGAAUAAGCACCGGCUAACUACGUGCCAGCAGCCGCGGUAAUACGUAGGGUGCGAGCGUUAAUCGGAAUUACUGGGCGUAAAGCGUGCGCAGGCGGUUGUGUAAGACAGGUGUGAAAUCCCCGGGCUUAACCUGGGAAUUGCACUUGUGACUGCACGGCUAGAGUGCGGCAGAGGGGGAUGGAAUUCCGCGUGUAGCAGUGAUAUGCGUAGAUAUGCGGAGGAACACCGAUGGCGAAGGCAAUCCCCUGGGCCUGCACUGACGCUCAUGCACGAAAGCGUGGGGAGCAAACAGGAUUAGAUACCCGCGUAGUC